Molecule: ribosomal RNA, 519 nt
Filed under: uncultured bacterium
Lineage: Bacteria
Description: bacterial SSU rRNA
Rfam family: Bacterial small subunit ribosomal RNA
Source: RNAcentral
AGAGUUGAUCAUGGCUCAGGACGAACGCUGGCGGCGUGCCUAACACAUGCAAGUCGAGCGGGGACAUGCGACGGAUGGAAGAUUCGGUUGGACUUGAAGAUGCAUCGUCUAGCGGCGGACGGGUGAGUAACGCGUGAGCAACCUGUCCCUUACAGGGGAUAACACAGCGAAAGUUGUACUAAUACCGCAUAAGACCACGGGAGGACAUCCUUCAGGGGUCAAAGGAGCAAUCCGGUAAGGGGUGGGCUCGCGUCCGAUUAGAUAGUUGGUGAGGUAACGGCCCACCAAGUCGACGAUCGGUAGCCGACCUGAGAGGGUGAUCGGCCACAUUGGGACUGAGACACGGCCCAAACUCCUACGGGAGGCAGCAGUGGGGAAUAUUGGGCAAUGGGGGGAACCCUGACCCAGCAACGCCGCGUGAGGGAAGAAGGUUUUCGGAUCGUAAACCUCUGUCCUUGGUGAAGAGGAAGAGACGGUAGCCAAGGAGGAAGCCCCGGCUAACUACGUGCCAGCCGCCGC